RNAcentral lists this ribosomal RNA (253 nucleotides) under uncultured bacterium. Its description in RNAcentral is "partial 16S ribosomal RNA". It matches the Rfam family "Bacterial small subunit ribosomal RNA", at positions 524 to 776 of the family's 1533-position model. The record is from RNAcentral.
CACGUAGGGCGCAAGCGUUGUCCGGAAUUAUUGGGCGUAAAGAGCUCGUAGGCGGUCUGUUACGUCUGCUGUGAAAACCCUGGGCUUAACCCUGGGCUUGCAGUGGAUACGGGCAGACUAGAGGCAGGUAGGGGAGAAUGGAAUUCCCGGUGUAGCGGUGAAAUGCGCAGAUAUCGGGAAGAACACCCGUGGCGAAGGCGGUUCUCUGGGACGGUACUGACGCUGAGACGCGAAAGCGUGGGGAGCGAACAGG